This 700-nucleotide ribosomal RNA is filed under the name uncultured bacterium. Its description in RNAcentral is "bacterial SSU rRNA". It matches the Rfam family "Bacterial small subunit ribosomal RNA", at positions 56 to 782 of the family's 1533-position model. The record is from RNAcentral.
UGCAAGUCGAACGGGGACUUCGGUCCUAGUGGCGAACGGUCGCGUAACACGUAAGCAACCUGCCCUGAAGUGGGGGGCAACAUCCCGAAAGGGGUGCUAAUACCGCAUGUGGUCACGAGUCGGCAUCGACUUGUGUCUAAAGAUUUAUCGCUUCAGGAUGGGCUUGCGGCCUAUCAGGUAGUUGGUGGGGUAAUGGCCUACCAAGCCGACGACGGGUAGCUGGUCUGAGAGGACGAUCAGCCGGAUUGGGACUGAGAUACGGCCCAGACUCCUACGGGGGGCAGCAAUUAGGAAUCUUGCGCAAUGGGGGCAACCCUGACGCAGCGACGUCGCGUGAAGGAUGAAGGCCCUCGGGUCGUAAACUUCUUUUGAGUGGGAAGAAAUUUGACGGUACCACUCGAAUAAGCCCCGGCUAGGGGGGGUGCCAGCAGCCGCGGUAAUACGUAGGGGGCGAGCGUUGUCCGAAGUUACUGGGCGUAAAGCGCGCGUAGGCGGUUAUUCAAGUCUGGGGUGAAAGGUUUAGCGCUCAACGUGAACAGUGCCUUGGAUACUGGAUGACUUGAGUCUGGGAGGGGGAAGGGGAAUUCCUGGUGUAGCGGUGAAAUGCGUAGAUAUCAGGAGGAACACCGGUGGCGAAGGCGCCUUCCUGGCCUAAGACUGACGCUGAGGUGCGAAAGCGUGGGGAGCAAACGGGAUUAGA